AAACCGCCUAGAGGUAAACGGGUGGAUCCGCAAAGUCGGCCCGCGGAAUUCAGCUCGGAAGGCCGUGAGCCUGCGGUGGGUCGGGGAUCUUAUCGACCCUCCUGCCGCGGGACCUCGCGUCGACCGUGUGCACUUUCCGCGGGCAGAGCGCCACGACCGGUUCUCGGGCGGUCAGAAGGCGGCGGGGAUGGUAGGCGUGCGCUUCGGCGUGCGCUGGUAUAGCCCCGCCUGUCCCGAUCCGCUCGGGGACCGAGGAGCCGCCGCCGGCGUAGGCCGCCUUGCCUUCCCGGGAGGUUCGACUGGCAGAGACUGGGUAACCGUGUCUGCCGACCGCCUCUCGGUGACGGAUGGGGUGNGCCCGCCGGCACAGGGUCGGUGGCGAAUCGGUCGGCCCUCCACCCGACCCGUCUUGAA
RNAcentral lists this ribosomal RNA (414 nucleotides) under Bostrycapulus cf. aculeatus RC. Its description in RNAcentral is "partial 28S ribosomal RNA". The record is from RNAcentral. Lineage: Eukaryota; Metazoa; Mollusca; Gastropoda; Littorinimorpha; Calyptraeidae.